CGUGAAGGUUUUUCUAGG
This 18-nucleotide ribosomal RNA is filed under the name Gammarus glabratus. RNAcentral's name for it is "partial 12S ribosomal RNA". The record is from RNAcentral. Lineage: Eukaryota; Metazoa; Arthropoda; Malacostraca; Amphipoda; Gammaridae.